UACAGAGGGUGCAAGCGUUAAUCGGAAUUACUGGGCGUAAAGCGUGCGCAGGCGGCGCGUUAAGACAGGUGUGAAAGCCCCGAGCUUAACUUGGGAAUUGCGCUUGUGACUGGCGUGCUGGAGUGUGGCAGAGGGAGGUGGAAUUCCACGUGUAGCAGUGAAAUGCGUAGAGAUGUGGAGGAACACCGAUGGCGAAGGCAGCCUCCUGGGCCAGCACUGACGCUCAUGCACGAAAGCGUGGGGAGCAAACAGG
Molecule: ribosomal RNA, 253 nt
Filed under: uncultured bacterium
Lineage: Bacteria
Description: partial 16S ribosomal RNA
Rfam family: Bacterial small subunit ribosomal RNA
Source: RNAcentral